CAGCAGCCGCGGUAAUGCGUAGGUGGCAAGCGUUGUCCGGAAUUAUUGGGCGUAAAGGGCUCGCAGGCGGUUUCUUAAGUCUGAUGUGAAAGCCCCCGGCUCAACCGGGGAGGGUCAUUGGGAACUGGGAAACUUGAGUGCAGAAGAGAAGAGUGGAACUCCACGUGUAGCGGUGAAAUGCGUAGAGAUGUGGAGGAACACCAGUGGCGAAGGCGACUCUCUGGUCUGUAACUGACGCUGAGGAGCGAAAGCGUGGGGAGCGAACAGGAUUAGAUACCCCAGUAGUCCCUGUCUCUUAUAC
Molecule: ribosomal RNA, 301 nt
Filed under: uncultured bacterium
Lineage: Bacteria
Description: partial 16S ribosomal RNA
Rfam family: Bacterial small subunit ribosomal RNA
Source: RNAcentral